UCUUCGGAGUGAUACUACGUGAAGGAUGAAGGUCUAAGGAUUGUAAACUUCUUUACUAGUAGGUACUGCUUUUGGGCUUGCCUGCUAGCAAAAAGUCACGACUAACUAUGUGCCAGCAGUCGCGGUAAGACAUAGGUGGCGAACGUUAUCCGGAAUUACUGGGCGUAAAGAGUGCGUAGGUGGUUUAAUAAGUUACUGGUGGGAAAUCGGGGCUCAACCCCGUGGAAGUCAGUAAUACUAUUAAACUAGAGGGUCGGAGAGGUUAACGGAAUUCUAUGUGUAGCGGUAAAAUGCUUAAAUAUAUAGAGGAACACCAAACGGCGAAGGCAGUUAACUAUUCGAUUCCUGACGUUGAGGCACGAAAGCGUGGGGAGCAAGACGGAUUAGAUACCCGAGUAGUCCACGCCCUAAACGAUGAGUACUAGAUAUUGGGAACUAGAUUCUCAGUGUCGCAAGAUAACUCGGUAAGUACUCCGCCUGGGUAGUACGGUCGCAAGACUAAAACUC
RNAcentral lists this ribosomal RNA (507 nucleotides) under uncultured bacterium. Its description in RNAcentral is "bacterial SSU rRNA". It matches the Rfam family "Bacterial small subunit ribosomal RNA", at positions 383 to 902 of the family's 1533-position model. The record is from RNAcentral.